GGGGGGUGGAUUGCCAUGUGAUCGCGUGGACUCUAAAUCCACGUAGCCGGGUGCAACUCCCGGACUCCCCACCA
RNAcentral lists this transfer RNA (74 nucleotides) under Deltaproteobacteria bacterium. RNAcentral's name for it is "tRNA-OTHER". The record is from RNAcentral. Lineage: Bacteria; Pseudomonadati; Myxococcota; Myxococcia.